GCCGGGUGAGGUGGUGUACACUUGUAAUCCCAGUAUCUUGAGAGGCUGAGGCAGGAGGAUUACAAGUUGAAAGCCAGCCUCAGCAAUUCAGAAAGGCCCUAAGAAACUCAGUGAGACCCUGUCUCUA
This 127-nucleotide small RNA is filed under the name Marmota monax (woodchuck). The record is from RNAcentral. Lineage: Eukaryota; Metazoa; Chordata; Mammalia; Rodentia; Sciuridae.